This 669-nucleotide long non-coding RNA is filed under the name Zonotrichia albicollis (white-throated sparrow). Its description in RNAcentral is "lncRNA (ENSZALG00000016245.1)". The record is from RNAcentral. Lineage: Eukaryota; Metazoa; Chordata; Aves; Passeriformes; Passerellidae.
GUAUGGAGAAAAACAUGGAGGUGUUGAAAUACACCAGUUGUAAUUCCCACAUCUCCUAGGAAAGUGGUGGAUCAGGAGGGCCUGGUGUGAAACGGCAGUCGAGGGCAAGAAAAACACAGAUUUUAUCCAACACUACGAUUGUGUCCCUGCGCUUGGAUGUGGAUCAUUGGUUUGUAAAAGGCACACCAGAGGGAAGAUGAAGAUCAAGUCUCUUGACCUUGCUAAAUGGAUGCAAAUAUAUGUUUGCAAAACAGCAAUGCUUUAGAUUUUGAUGAUAGAAGCUGUAAGUCAUAUCAGCACCAGGAGGAAAAGCACCCUACUCCAACUUCAUUGAUUAAUAAAGAAAAAAUCACUGGGUUCCAAGUUUGCACCUCAGAAGAAGAGAGGAAGAUUUUUGGAUAGUCUGGAGGGUCUUCCCCCAGCAGCAGGAGUUACCAUGCCUCUAAGGGAAGCACUUUAGAGUCUGUUGGAGGAGGAAAUCUUCCCUUUGCUGAUAGGCUGCCAGUAAAAUCGCCCCAAUGAUGGAAUCCUUCUCUAUUUCCUACAGGGGUUGCCCAGCAACAGAGCCCUUCUCCGAGCAGGUGCUGCCAUGUGCUGCUGCUGCCAAGGCAUGUGCAGCCCGUCUGGUACUUUUCCAUUCAAAAUAAAAUACCAGAUUCGUAACCGACA